GCAAUCUUGUGUGUGGAGAAGAGAGCAAUGGCCUCGACUUCUCUCUCCGUACCCGUUCCCACCAGACUCAGACCCUUCAACUCCUCUAACCCUAAUCCCAGAUUCCCAACUUCGUCAGCUUCCUUCAAGUUCUUCGCUUCUUCUCUCAAGCCAUCGACGCCGGUCGAACAUGGGUCCGCCGACCACUUUCUUCAGAACAAUUCCAUUGCUGAUUUUAUGAGAUUCAAAAAAGGGAUACUUGGAGGGAGCAACGGCGAGUUGCAGACGGCUGUUGUCACUUACAGAAAGAAGUUCCCUUGGUCUCUUCUUCAACCCUUUCUUCAGGUGCCUUUUAUUUUAUUUUAUUUUUUCAAAUUAUAAUUAUGCCAUUUUUCUUUCCCUUUAUUCAAGUGCUUUUUUCUGUUCUUUUGUUUUUAAUUAUGGGUUUUUUCCUUUAUAUAUCUUCUUCAGGUUGAUUUGGUCUCUACGAUUCACAUUGCGGACAAAGAGUAUGUCUGCUCACUAGAAUUUGGACCGGUUUUCCAUUUUUCUAGUUUGAUUUCUUCUCUCCUGCCUCUUUUUUCUGUUAUGAAUUUAUUAUAUUUUCAUUUUCGACUUGGAGUGUGGUGGGUUCGUGGUAAUACCAGAAGUUAAUGGUUUGCUUCAUCUGGCAUUCUCAAUAUGACACGCAAGAGCAGAAAUUUGUCAAAUUAUUAAUAUAUGGCUCUGUAUCUGGUGCUUUCUAGGAAGUAUACAGCAAAGAUGAUUGAAUGGAUGGUCUGAACUUAGGAUGGUUGUACAGUUUUGAAUCUUUUGAUAGUUCGGUUAUAAUGUUUGUUUAAUUAGUUUCCUUCUGAAUUGGAUUAUAUCAGCUCAUUUAUGAAGAAUGUAGUUUUUUUGGUUUUUAGGUCUCCAAGUUCUUUUCCAGGUCAUGGGUGAUGACAGCUCUGAGCUUAUUGUUAAUUCAAGAUGACAUUAGUAUCAUCACUAAUAAUGAAAUGAUUGUUGGUAAAGUAAAACCCCAUAAAUCUUCCUUCUCUCCUGACUCCAAUCUCAGAGCCUCAAAUGCUGACUUUCUCUCUAUAUUUUUCCUUCCUUUGGAAUACUUUUCUGAACUCAUUUUCCUUUCUUUGGCUACCCAACUCUUUACAUUUUCACAAAACUUGACUAGAGAAAAAUUAUUUUUUUUUUGGGGUUUUUAGAGAUAAAAGAAUCUUAGUUUUUUGGGUGCAAAUUUCCUAUUUGAUAACAGACUUAUACCCAUUUAUGUUGUGUGAAAUAUUUUCAAGAGCACCCCUUCCAAUUCCAAAGUAUGUGUUUUUGAAUAAAUUCCGAUCUCCAUGAUACCCUUUUGAACAAAGAAAUAUUAUAGAAUUAUGCCUGUGCUAAAAAUUACUCUUGUGAAUCAACAAUAUGUUGCUUCAUUGUUGUGUGUUGGUACCUCAUAUUGUACUGAUUUUAUUACAUUUUCGUUAUUUAAGUGUACUUGUAUACUAUACUUGUUAUAUACUAUACUAUAGAAUUUACAUUUUCAUUAGUGUUGCGAUCAUUUUGCAUCCUACACAUUAUAUACUAUACUUGUUAUAUACAUUUUCUUUCCGGUAUUUCAUUUGAAAUUUCCAUUUUUUUUUUCCUUUACUAAUUUCCAUGAUAUUUUCAAAUUGAUGAAAAUUGAAAUUGUUAUCAAAAUAUCUAUGGAUUUGUCCACUUGAUAGUAUUUUAUUCUUUGCACACAGGUACUUUGCAACCCUCCAGAAGGAACUUGAACCCUACGACUGUGUCCUUUACGAGAUGGUGGCCAGUAGAGAGAGUUUAGAGAAUAGAAGAAACCCUGCUGCUACAAAAAGGCUCAAAAGUUCACGUUCACGAGGCUUUAACAUUCUUGGAUGCAUUCAACGACAGAUGGCUCGAGUUCUUAUGCUUGAUUUUCAAUUAGAUUGUCUUGAUUACCAAGCUGAGAAUUGGUACCAUGCUGAUCUUGACUAUGAGACUUUCAAGUUACUUCAGGUGCGAGUCUUUGACUUCUCUGGAUAAAAUUGAUGCGAUGCACUAGUAUUUUGACUGUGUAAACCAUUAAAAUGCUUGAGAUUUUUGUAGAAGUUACUUGACAGUCUUCGCUCAAUAUUUAACUCAAAUUCUAGAGAUGCAUCAAGAACAUGGAAAAAAAUUUAAGCAUGCCUAUAUCCAGUGACAAAUAUUUGAGUUCAGCCAUUUUUCAAUUUUUUUUUGGUUAUUUAUUUAUUGCUGUUUCUUUUUCUUUAUGAGGUCACAGAUACUUCUUUGUUAAUCUAAAAAAUUUUAAGAUUGACCCGAUUAGAGUCUGCUUCUUGAUAGGUUAUAGUCCAUAUUCAUACAAUUCUUAAUGCUUGGUCCAUUGUGUACUUUUAUCUUACCACCAAACUUUGAAUU
Molecule: long non-coding RNA, 2388 nt
Filed under: Vitis vinifera (wine grape)
Lineage: Eukaryota; Viridiplantae; Streptophyta; Magnoliopsida; Vitales; Vitaceae
Description: long non-coding RNA (VVIN_LNC003402)
Source: RNAcentral